Molecule: transfer RNA, 59 nt
Filed under: Salmo salar (Atlantic salmon)
Lineage: Eukaryota; Metazoa; Chordata; Actinopteri; Salmoniformes; Salmonidae
Rfam family: tRNA
About the family: Transfer RNA (tRNA) molecules are approximately 80 nucleotides in length.
Source: Rfam by way of RNAcentral
UGGCUCAGUUGGUAGAGCGUGGUGUUUGCAACACCAGGGUUUGUGGGUUCGAUUCCCAC